Alosa sapidissima (American shad) is the source of this 96-nucleotide long non-coding RNA. RefSeq lists it as uncharacterized. NCBI's taxonomy places the organism in Eukaryota, Metazoa, Chordata, Actinopteri, Clupeiformes, Clupeidae. The transcript is spliced from 3 exons. The record is from RefSeq and is a predicted model, not a curated record.
UUAAUUGCUUUGUAUGUUUGAUGACAGCAAAUUAGCAAGUAUUACCUACUGAUUGCAGAAACGUUUGUUUUCUUUUUAUGUCGAAAAAUCGGUUCU